Molecule: ribosomal RNA, 1450 nt
Filed under: uncultured prokaryote
Description: partial 16S ribosomal RNA
Rfam family: Bacterial small subunit ribosomal RNA
Source: RNAcentral
AGAGUUUGAUCAUGGCUCAGCGCGAACGCUGGCGGCAUGGCUAAAACAUGCAAGUCGAACGAGAACCCCGCAAGGGGGUAGAGCGGCGAAAGGGCGAGUAAUGCGUUUCUAUGUACCCUAAGGCGAGGGAUAGCCCAGGGAAACUUGGAGUAAUACCUCAUGUGGCCUCCGGAUCAAAGGCUUGUGCUGCCUUGGGAGCAGAGAACGUCCUAUCAGGUUGUUGGUGAGGUAACGGCUCACCAAGCCUAAGACGGGUAGCGGGUGUGAGAGCAUGACCCGCCGCAUCGGGACUGAGACACUGCCCGGACUCCUACGGGAGGCUGCAGUAACGAAUCUUCCGCAAUGCGCGAAAGCGUGACGGAGCAAUGCCGCGUGCAGGAUGAAGCUUUUCGGAGUGUAAACUGCUGUCAGGGGCUAGCAACACAAUGAUCAGACCCAAAGGAAGGGCCGGCUAACUUCGUGCCAGCAGCCGCGGUAAUACGAAGGGCCCGAGCGUUGCGCGGAAUCACUGGGCUUAAAGCGUACGCAGGCGGACCUGCAGGCGUUUUGUGAAAGCCCUCGGCUCAACCGGGGAAUUGCUUGGUGAACUGCACGUCUUGAGGCAAGUAGAGGUGGUCGGAACGAUAGGUGGAGCGGUGAUAUGCUUAGAUAUCUAUCGGAACGCCAAAGGAGAAGUCAGGCCACUGGGCCUGUUCUGACGCUGAGGCACGAAAGCGUGGGUAGCGAACGGGAUUAGAUACCCCGGUAGUCCACGCCGUAAAACGAUGCGCACUAGGUCGGGGAGGUUUGACGCCCUCCCGGCCGAAGCAAAAGUGUUAAGUGCGCCGCCUGGGGAGUACGGUCGCAAGGCUAAAACUCAAAGGAAUUGACGGGGGCUCACACAAGCGGUGGAGCAUGUGGCUUAAUUCGAAGCAACGCGAAGAACCUUAUCCAGGGUUUGACAUGUAUGGAUUAGCUCUCAGAAAGAGUAAGUUGCCCUUUGGGUGAAACGUGCACAGGUGCUGCAUGGCUGUCGUCAGCUCGUGCUGUGAAGUGUCGGGUUAAGUCCCUUAACGAGCGAAACCCCUAUCUUUAGUUGCCAGCGAGUAAUGUCGGGGACUCUAGAGAGACUGCCGGUGUUAAACCGGAGGAAGGUGGGGAUGACGUCAAGUCCUCAUGGCCUUUAUGCCCUGGGCUGCACACGUGCUACAAUGCGGCGUACAGAGCGAAGCAAUAUCGUAAGGUGGAGCAAAUCGCACAAAGCGCCGCUCAGUUCGGAUUGUGGUCUGCAACUCGACCACAUGAAGCUGGAAUCGCUAGUAAUCGCGUAUCAGCUACGACGCGGUGAAUACGUUCCUGAGCCUUGUACACACCGCCCGUCAAGUCAUGGAAGCCGGUAGUGCCCGAAGUGGCCCUGAAUCAAGGGUCCCUACGGCAAGAUCGGUGACUAGGACUAAGUCGUAACAAGGUA